GGCAGUGUAGUACAAUGGUUAAGGUGCUAGUCUCGUAACCUAAAGGAUACAGGUUUGAUUCCUGGGUAAGACACUGCCG
This 79-nucleotide transfer RNA is filed under the name Anguilla anguilla (European eel). RNAcentral's name for it is "tRNA-OTHER". The record is from RNAcentral. Lineage: Eukaryota; Metazoa; Chordata; Actinopteri; Anguilliformes; Anguillidae.